AACAGGAUUAGAUACCCUGGUAGUCCACGCCGUAAACGAUGUCGACUUGGAGGUUGUUCCCUUGAGGAGUGGCUUCCGGAGCUAACGCGUUAAGUCGACCGCCUGGGGAGUACGGCCGCAAGGUUAAAUCUCAAAUGAAUUGACGGGGGCCCGCACAAGCGGUGGAGCAUGUGGUUUAAUUCGAUGCAACGCGAAGAACCUUACCUACUCUUGACAUCCACGGAAUUUGGCAGAGAUGCCUUAGUGCCUUCGGGAACCGUGAGACAGGUGCUGCAUGGCUGUCGUCAGCUCGUGUUGUGAAAUGUUGGGUUAAGUCCCGCAACGAGCGCAACCCUUAUCCUUUGUUGCCAGCGAUUCGGUCGGGAACUCAAAGGAGACUGCCGGUGAUAAACCGGAGGAAGGUGGGGAUGACGUCAAGUCAUCAUGGCCCUUACGAGUAGGGCUACACACGUGCUACAAUGGCGCAUACAAAGAGAAGCGACCUCGCGAGAGCAAGCGGACCUCACAAAGUGCGUCGUAGUCCGGAUCGGAGUCUGCAACUCGACUCCGUGAAGUCGGAAUCGCUAGUAAUCGUGGAUCAGGAUGCCACGGUGAAUACGUUCCCGGGCCUUGUACACACCGCCCGUCACACCAUGGGAGUGGGUUGCAAAAGAAGUAGGUAGCUUAACCUUCGGGAGGGCGCUUACCACUUUGUGAUUCAUGACUGGGGUGAAGUCGUAACAAGGUAACC
This 730-nucleotide ribosomal RNA is filed under the name uncultured bacterium. RNAcentral's name for it is "bacterial SSU rRNA". It matches the Rfam family "Bacterial small subunit ribosomal RNA", at positions 771 to 1501 of the family's 1533-position model. The record is from RNAcentral.